UUUACUGGGGGAAUCUGAGACAUGUCUGUUUGAUGAAGUAAGCUACAGAACUGGCCCGGUGACUGAAAAAUGUCUCAAAUAUUCAGACCUGGUUUACAGGUACUUGAGAUUGACUCCCUAUUACUAGGUAAACAUCACAGCUUCUCUUUGUGUUCAUGGCCGACUCAGGUCUACCAAAUAACUAAUCGAGACUAGAGCUUCUCCCUCAGAACUGAAUGGCUAGGAAAUAUGCUUCUGACCACCAAAGGAACCUCAUGGAACUGUAGAUUGAAGUUGCAUGUCAGAAUAAAAGUACCCUGGGAUCUAAGAUCAUCUGUUUUCAAGCUGCACACCAGAUAUAUGCCUGUCCUCCAUGUCUACACCUGUGCAGCUUAUCAAGAGUUUAAGUAAGGAACAGACCUAGGGACUAUAAUUCAGCUUGUAAGAAGAACCCUCUGAUUGCCGUUAAGCCUCAAAAGGAGUCCUCAGAGAUAAGAAUUUUCUAGAGUUCACUGAAGAGUUGGAGAAGGACUAGGGAGUGCCUGGAUCUUCUCCUCUACAAAAGAUUAAGCUAAAGAUAUGGGCAUCCUAAACUAUGAAGAAGAGUUAGAUGGUGAGGCAAUUCUAGGAGCUUAUGAGAUUCUUACCAGAAAUGGAGUGGUCUCAUCUUGUCUCAUACACCUGUGCUACUGAUGAAAGGCUUGUGGAGGACACAGAGCUAGGAGCUGCCAACCAAUCUGGGUGUCAGACCAAGAGUGGAUUAUACCACCAAGUAAAACAAGUAUCAGACAUUCAUGAUCUUCCCUGAAGAUAUGUACAGCUGAACACAACCUUGAGGAAACAUCAAUGCUUGAAUAACCACUUAGCCUGUUGGAAGAUUGUUAGGAGAUUUGCCUUAGACUCUCAAAGAUUUCACACAAGAAAUCAACUGACCCCAUCACUGCUGCCCAGACAUGGACUAUGAAAACAACCUAAAAAAAAGAGGAGACCUAGCUGUUGACAGCCAUCCAGGUACAUUGAAAAAGGCUCUCAUUGCUGCCUGAACUCUCUAAGACUCAACACAAGAUGAGGAAGCUCUAAAGAAGAGUUGGAAGCUGAAGUGCAGUAAUGGGACCUUCCUUCACUGAAUAAGGUAGUAAGGGCAUUCACCUUCAACAGGAUGGUGUAUGACAUUUCUCCUCUCUGUGCAAGGGUUUUCCAAUUCAUACCUUUGCCCUAAACAGGUCACAAAGGGCCAGUGCUUCCACUCUCCUCAAGUUAUUUUAUUCCUUUUGCUACAAUGAUGAAAAUGGUAGACCUCCCUCCUAGCCUACUGAAGACCUUCCCCAUUUUCCUAAGGCGGUCUCAAGUAUUCAUUUUGUGGCAAAGACCCUCAAACUUUACCUUUGAAUAAAGAGGCCCCAUAUUAAAUAUCUCUUACACCACUCACACUGUAACAGUGAGAGUCAGAUUUGACCACAUUCAGUCCAGUGUAGUGAAAGGGGGAGCUAUGAUUACAAACUUAAAUCACAAAAAUUACAAAGAUCCCAUUUUUUGUCAAGAGGUGUCUGGGCUAUUCCACACUGAUGAAUAAGAGCUCAGAAUUGCAACCAAAGGGUUGCAAAUCAUUCACUCUGUAUUUGAUUGAGCUACAGGUCCAGCCACUGAAGCUGGGAGGCCCUAGAGCAUCCCCUUCCUUUCAUGGACACAUUUCACUUGACCCUUGGACUCCUAUUACCUUAGUGCCAAUCCCAGGGGCUAAGAUUGCUAAUAAAACACUUUUGUAACCAUGGGACCUCACAAGAUUCUAGGUAGAGGGGAAAAUGUAAAAAGCUUAAACUAAUAAUCAUGCCAUAUGCCUAGAAUGUAGCUGUCAGAAAUGCAAAAUGUUCUCAUCUUUUAUGUAAACGAAGACUGUACUUAUGUUUCCCAACUGCCCAAACACAAAUAAUUACACAGAAAAUAUAUUAAUUACAAUUCUACGUAGACUAUUAGCUCAGGAUUCUUAUUAACUAACUUUUACACCUUAAAUUAACCCAUUUUUAUCAAUCUAUGUAUCACCAUAUGGCUGUGUAAUACUGGAAAAGUUCUGGUAUAGUUCUACUUCAGUAGCUACAUGUCCUCUCCUGGACUCCACCUAAUUUCUUUUUAUAUCUCUUCCAGUCUGGCUAUAUUCUGCCCUCCCAUAGGUCAAAGCAGAUUUAUUCAUUAACCAAAAAAAAAAAAGAAAAGCAUAUACAGAAGGACAUUCCACAUCACUUACAUUGAUGGAUAAACACAGAUCAAUACAAC
This is a long non-coding RNA of Alexandromys fortis (reed vole), 2250 nucleotides long. RefSeq lists it as uncharacterized. NCBI's taxonomy places the organism in Eukaryota, Metazoa, Chordata, Mammalia, Rodentia, Cricetidae. The record is from RefSeq and is a predicted model, not a curated record. The transcript has 6 exons.